GUAGGUGAACCUGCGGAAGGAUCAUUACCGAGUUAGGGUCGCCUCCCAGGUGCCCGACCUCCCAACCCUGUGUCUAAAUUACCUCAGUUGCUUCGGUGGGCCGGGCGCGACCAACUGGCUUAGUAGGCCAGGCUGGCUUCGUGACCGGUGGCCGGGGAUACCCCCCGGCGGCAGAGUGCCCACCGAUGGCCCCCAUAAAACUCUUGAUACCUAAACCUGUCGUCUGAAUUUACUUGAUAUUGAAUCAAAACAAAACUUUCAACAACGGAUCUCUUGGUUCUG
RNAcentral lists this unclassified non-coding RNA (282 nucleotides) under rhizosphere metagenome. RNAcentral's name for it is "partial ribosomal RNA internal transcribed spacer region". The record is from RNAcentral.